Molecule: long non-coding RNA, 358 nt
Filed under: Olea europaea (common olive)
Lineage: Eukaryota; Viridiplantae; Streptophyta; Magnoliopsida; Lamiales; Oleaceae
Description: long non-coding RNA (OEUR_LNC009396)
Source: RNAcentral
UGGGGGAAAUGUUGGAAACUCAAGGGGGGAGUGCACAAUGGUUUCCAGUGGAGGAGGCUCCGAGGACGAUGAUGAGUCGAGGGACAGUGAGGACGAGGGAGCCCGUGAGGAGACCAGAGGUGAUCAGAGUGGAGACAGCAAUGGAGAGGCCUCGGACGAGGGGAACAGUGAGGAUGACCACACUCGUACACCGCAGACUGGGACAUAUUCCUCUCCCCCCAUGCACAGACGUACUUCUCCCAUUCAUGCACCAUCCACAUCUCAUGUACGACAAGGUCAAACCUCUAGUGCGAGCCUCACGAGAGACGAGGUGGAGGAACUAUUGCUUGAUCAAAGAACGCUCAUCGAAAUUCGCCCG